Bos taurus (domestic cattle) is the source of this 72-nucleotide non-coding RNA. Lineage: Eukaryota; Metazoa; Chordata; Mammalia; Artiodactyla; Bovidae. The record is from Rfam.
UCCCGGGUGGCUCAGAUGGUCAAGAAUCUGCCUGCGAUGCAGGAGACCUAGGUUUGAUCCCUGGUUCGGGAA